Molecule: ribosomal RNA, 576 nt
Filed under: uncultured eukaryote
Lineage: Eukaryota
Description: SSU rRNA
Rfam family: Eukaryotic small subunit ribosomal RNA
Source: RNAcentral
UUUGUUACUUCAAACCAAUCGGACUUCGGUCUGACAUCAAGUGAUAUUGAACAAUUUAGCUGAUCGCACGGUCUAAGAACCGGCGACAUAUCCUUCAAAUGUCUGCCUUAUCAACUUUCGAUGGUAGAUUAUGCGCCUACCAUGGUUGUAACGGGUAACGGAGAAUCAGGGUUUGAUUCCGGAGAGGGAGCCUGAGAAACGGCUACCACAUCCAAGGAAGGCAGCAGGCACGCAAAUUACCCACUCCCGGCACGGGGAGGUAGCGACGAAAAAUAACAAGCUGGUCUCAAUGAGUUCCAGCAUUGUAAUGGGAACAAUUUAAAUCUUUUAUCGAGGAUCUAUUGGAGGGCAAGUCUGGUGCCAGCAGCCGCGGUAAUUCCAGCUCCAAUAGCGUAUAUUAAAGUUGUUGCGGUUAAAAAGCUCGUAGUUGGAUCUAGGAUUAGGGCUACGGUCGUUCAGCUUGGACGUACUGUAUGCCCGACUCCUUUUCUCUAGUAUUCGAUUGUUGCUCUUAAAUGAGUGACUUUAGUUGCUGGAACUUUUACCUUGAAAAAAUUGAAGUGCUCAAAGCAGGUU